AUGUACCACUCGUACACUGCGGUUCCUGCGCGCCGUCCGCGCCCACCUGACAGCUGCUCGCUAC
This is a small RNA of 64 nucleotides. It matches the Rfam family "Xanthomonas sRNA sX9", at positions 1 to 64 of the family's 76-position model.